Molecule: ribosomal RNA, 310 nt
Filed under: uncultured bacterium
Lineage: Bacteria
Description: bacterial SSU rRNA
Rfam family: Bacterial small subunit ribosomal RNA
Source: RNAcentral
AUUGAACGCUGGCGGCAUGCCUUACACAUGCAAGUCGAACGGCAGCGCGGGAGCAAUCCUGGCGGCGAGUGGCGAACGGGUGAGUAAUACAUCGGAACGUGCCCAAUCGUGGGGGAUAACGCAGCGAAAGCUGUGCUAAUACCGCAUACGAUCUACGGAUGAAAGCAGGGGAUCGCAAGACCUUGCGCGAAUGGAGCGGCCGAUGGCAGAUUAGGUAGUUGGUGAGGUAAAGGCUCACCAAGCCUUCGAUCUGUAGCUGGUCUGAGAGGACGACCAGCCACACUGGGACUGAGACACGGCCCAGACUCCU